RNAcentral lists this transfer RNA (77 nucleotides) under uncultured archaeon. RNAcentral's name for it is "tRNA-Thr(ggt)". It matches the Rfam family "tRNA". Rfam says of the family: Transfer RNA (tRNA) molecules are approximately 80 nucleotides in length. The record is from RNAcentral.
AGCCCGUGUGGCAUAGUUAGUUAGCGCAUAUCAUUGGUAAUGAUAAGGUCGGGGGUGCAAUUCCCCCCACGGGCUUC